GAUGAAGAACGCAUCGAAAUGCGAUAAGUAAUGCGAAUUGCAGAAUUCAGUGAAUCAUCGAAUCUUUGAACGCACAUUGCGCCCGCUAGUAUUCUGGCGGGCAUGCCUGUCUGAGCGUCAUUUCAACCCUCGCCCCCGGCUUUUGCUGGGAGCGGUGUUGGGGAUCGGCCGCCCGUCACUGGGAGGCCGGCCCCGAAAUAGAGUGGCGACCACGCCGUGUGCUCCUCUGCGUAGUAGUAAAUCACCUCGCAGGCGGACAGCGGUGCGGCCUGCCGUAAAACCCCCAACUCUUUCUGGUUGACCUCAGAUCAGGUAGGAAUACCCGCUGAACUUAAGCAUAUCAAUAAGCGGAGGA
Molecule: unclassified non-coding RNA, 355 nt
Filed under: soil metagenome
Description: partial contains 5.8S ribosomal RNA, internal transcribed spacer 2, and large subunit ribosomal RNA
Rfam family: 5.8S ribosomal RNA (bases 1-120)
Source: RNAcentral